Peromyscus maniculatus bairdii (prairie deer mouse) is the source of this 346-nucleotide non-coding RNA. The record is from RefSeq and is a predicted model, not a curated record. NCBI's taxonomy places the organism in Eukaryota, Metazoa, Chordata, Mammalia, Rodentia, Cricetidae.
AUCAAUAUAACUCGGGGAAAAUCUCAGAAAGGUGGGGGACUGGAUCUGUGAAAACCAGAAGACUAGGAUGGUGUCUUCUCCAUCUGUCAGGGAAGCUACACCCACUGACUCGCAACAAUACAGUUAGCUCCGCAACGACAACAUCAACUGACAAGCCAAAAAUAGACAGAUGAUGCUCCUGACGCCUCAUUCGAUGUGGAAUUGGAUGAAGAUGAAUUGGGUGAAUCCUUUCUCGUAUGUCGUAUAAGGUGUGCUCGCAAUGAGGCACUAUACUGAAACUGUUUUUUACAUAACUAAAAAAGAAAAAUGAAAGUUCUUCCUAUAUAAAAUGUUAAGUGAAAAUUCA